Molecule: unclassified non-coding RNA, 288 nt
Filed under: Hevea brasiliensis (rubber tree)
Lineage: Eukaryota; Viridiplantae; Streptophyta; Magnoliopsida; Malpighiales; Euphorbiaceae
Source: RNAcentral
UCGCUUGCGUUUGCUCCUUUCUCCAGUUAUGUAGUUUCUGUUUCUGUGUAGAACUUUUGAAACUGCAGUUUGAUUUGAUCCACUGGUGCUACAAUCUUCACAAUUGCUAGUAGAUUCACAAGAAUAUCUUAACUCAGCAUCAGUUGUGCUAUUCAUAUCCACAUUAUUUUCAGGAGAACCAUCUGUAUGAGCAUUGCUCAUGGAAGUUUCACCAUCUGAAUGUUUACUGGUAGCAUGAUCCACUUCAAGAGAACAGUUUCUUGAUGAACAAUAGCUGGGUUCUGGUUG